UGAUUUGGUGUGGGAGAAACUAAAUGAGGUCAAUGGGGAUACAUUGUUCAUGACUGGCAACUUCAAGGAAUUCAAGGCAGAAAGUCAUGCAAAUGAUACAUGGGAUGAGCACAAUGCCAUGGCCAGUACUGCUGACUAUAUUGCCAGCAUUGAUACUGGAGCACAAGUGGGCUUGGAUAUGAAUUCUGAUCUGCAGCUUGCAAUAGCUCUGCAACAACAGGAGUUUGAGCAGCAGCAGCAGCAGCAGCAGCAGCCUCACCCCCAUAAUUUGGAGCAACCUACUGUUACUGGCAGCUCAAGACUGAUUACCGGUCCCCAGGUGCCCAGAACCACUGGGAAAUAUUCAUCUUCAUCUUCAAGGCCCGAAGCAAAAUCAAAGGAUAAGUGUAUUGUGAUGUGAGUUUUGCUUAAGGGCAACUUGGAAGUCUGCACUGUAAAUGUUAUGUAUCUUGGCUUCAUUUUGUCCAUGACACUAAUAAACUCAGGUAACCAUACAAGUGAUUUAGAUAAGUUUUUCUUUUGCAAAAAAGUAUAUAGUACCAGAUUGCU
RNAcentral lists this unclassified non-coding RNA (549 nucleotides) under Hevea brasiliensis (rubber tree). Lineage: Eukaryota; Viridiplantae; Streptophyta; Magnoliopsida; Malpighiales; Euphorbiaceae. The record is from RNAcentral.